RNAcentral lists this transfer RNA (62 nucleotides) under Cucujoidea sp. 13 KM-2017. RNAcentral's name for it is "tRNA-His". The record is from RNAcentral. Lineage: Eukaryota; Metazoa; Arthropoda; Insecta; Coleoptera.
AUUUAAAUAGUUUAAAAAAAAUUUUAGUUUGUGAUUCUAAAGAUACAUUAAUGUUUUAAAUU